ACGGAAGGCAGCAGUGGGGAAUAUUGGGCAAUGGGCGAAAGCCUGACCCAGCAACGCCGCGUGAAGGAAGAAGAUUUUCGGAUUGUAAACUUCUUUUAUAAGGGACGAAAAAAAUGACGGUACCUUAUGAAUAAGCCACGGCUAACUACGUGCCAGCAGCCGCGGUAAUACGUAGGUGGCGAGCGUUGUCCGGAUUUACUGGGUGUAAAGGGAGCGCAGGCGGGACUGCAAGUUGGAUGUGAAAUACCGAGGCUUAACCUCGGAGCUGCAUCCAAAACUGCAGUUCUUGAGUGAAGUAGAGGUAGGCGGAAUUCCGAGUGUAGCGGUGAAAUGCGUAGAUAUUCGGAGGAACACCGGUGGCGAAGGCGGCCUACUGGGCUUUAACUGACGCUGAGGCUCGAAAGUGUGGGGAGCAAACAGGAUUAGAUACCCUGGUA
RNAcentral lists this ribosomal RNA (437 nucleotides) under uncultured Oscillospiraceae bacterium. RNAcentral's name for it is "bacterial SSU rRNA". It matches the Rfam family "Bacterial small subunit ribosomal RNA", at positions 341 to 792 of the family's 1533-position model. Lineage: Bacteria; Bacillati; Bacillota; Clostridia; Eubacteriales; Oscillospiraceae. The record is from RNAcentral.